AUUUUCUUUCCAUCAAUACACAAACUAAAAUUGGAACAAUACAGAGAAUAAAAUAGCCCCUAUACAAGGAUGACAAUGAAUAUUUGUGGAGCACUUUUUU
Monodelphis domestica (gray short-tailed opossum) is the source of this 100-nucleotide small nuclear RNA. Lineage: Eukaryota; Metazoa; Chordata; Mammalia; Didelphimorphia; Didelphidae. The record is from Ensembl.